AAAAUUUCACCGGUUGCUGAGCACAGUAGAUCCUGCCUGUUAUUUCAGAACUUUGGGAGGCCAAACUGGGAGAAUCUCUUGAGGACAGGUUUUGGGACCCUGGCCCAGCUGCGGACCCCCUGACCGACCUGCGCUACGUGUGGGGCGGCUUCGUGUACCUGCAGGACCUGGUGGAGCGCGCAGCCGUCCGCGUGCUCAGCGGCGCCAACCCCCGGGCCGGCCUCUACCUGCAGCAGAUGCCCUAUCCGUGCUAUGUGGACGACCUGGGGGACAUCCUCCCCUACAGCCACCCGGGCGUGGUCUUCCUGUUCUUGGCAGCCUUCGCGGUGGCCACGGUGACCCAGAGCUUCCUGCUCAGCGCCUUCUUCUCCCGCGCCAACCUGGCUGCGGCCUGCGGCGGCCUGGCCUACUUCUCCCUCUACCUGCCCUACGUGCUGUGUGUGGCUUGGCGGGACCGGCUGCCCGCGGGUGGCCGCGUGGCCGCGGUGAGAGCCGGGUCGGGCGUGGAUGGGGGACGCCCCCCGCUUCGGCUGCUCACUGACCUCCCGCUUUUCCGCAGAGCCUGCUGUCGCCCGUGGCCUUCGGCUUUGGCUGCGAGAGCCUGGCUCUGCUGGAGGAGCAGGGCGAGGGCGCGCAGUGGCACAACGUGGGCACCCGGCCU
RNAcentral lists this small RNA (661 nucleotides) under Pongo abelii (Sumatran orangutan). Its description in RNAcentral is "processed transcript". Lineage: Eukaryota; Metazoa; Chordata; Mammalia; Primates; Hominidae. The record is from RNAcentral.